Long non-coding RNA from Drosophila virilis, 2684 nucleotides. RefSeq lists it as uncharacterized. The record is from RefSeq and is a predicted model, not a curated record. NCBI's taxonomy places the organism in Eukaryota, Metazoa, Arthropoda, Insecta, Diptera, Drosophilidae.
UUCCCAUUCUUCCAGACCACCUGCUUUGAAAAUUUUAAGUUGGAUAAAAUUCGAAUAAUUUUCCCCAAAGGGUCGAGCGCAAAACGUACUCAGGUGUCGACUUGUAAGUGUUGUAAGCUUUCCAAAUACGGGCGACACUCCAUAAAGCAGAACUACAGCCAACCCCUAUUCCAAACUAUCCGUGUGAAAUACUUCAUAUUGACAUAUUCACACUGGAGAAAAAGGUGUAUUUGAGUUGUAUAGACAAGCUCACGAAUGCUUGAAUCAAAAUCAUCGGUUUAGUUGCGGGAAAAGUUAUUAGAGGCUCUCCAUUAUUUCUCAGUCCCUAAGACAAUGGUUUCUGAUAACGAUAGGGGCCUCUUAACUCCCACCGUUCUGAAUUAUUUGAGAACUUUGGAAAUUGAGUUAUUUAACACUCCGACUCUGAAGAGCGGGGUCUAUGAGCAAAUUGAGAAAUUUCAUUCCACAUUUUUAGAAACUUACAGGUGUUUGAAAAGCGAAUAUCCUACUUUCAAGAAUACUGACCUGGUGCCUAUAACCGUGGACACGUACGACAACCCUGUUCACUCGGUGACAAAUACGAAACCAGUGGAUAUAUUCUUUAAUCGUUCAGCAAGAAUAAAUUAUCAAGGCUUAGCUAAUUUUAAAGAAAAGCUAGAGUGUUAAUUAAGCACAAACAAUUAUUGACUAAUCUCUUUUGUAAUAAGAAACGAGCGAAACCUAUACAGGGUGAUAAAGUUUUCAGCGCUAACAAACAAAUAAAGUCAAAAGCAAAACAACGUUUCAGGCCUGGGGAGGUACAGAAAACGGGAAAGUGACAGUUAAGACGAAAUCAGGGAAGCGCUUUUACACGUUGCAAGCAUAUCCCUGAUCAACACGAUGGGAGCCGUGCACAUCUUCAAAUACGAUGCGCCUAUCGUUCCUCUCCAACAGGGACGUGUCUAGCGCGUCAAUGGAAUAUUUAAACUGGCCCAUGUCAUCGAUCUUGAGAACAUUCAACGAGUCAUCGGGGAGAUAGUAAAAGAAGCAAUACGCGUGGCCAACCCGGAAAUCAGUACCCUGACAUUGCACUACUUACGGGAGGCUACGGUGGACAUUUGCGCCACUACGAAGGCCGCGAUCCAUAGACUGGCAGGGAUCAGCUUGGAAAUAAGUCGCAGAAUCACCGGAUACGUCAGAUUGGGACGCCAUUCUCAAGUCUCAGGAGAACAUCGUUCAAAACAAUAAUUAACAAAUCAGAGCCAAUACGCUACUCUUCGACGCUACACACGAGUCACUCCAACGAGUCAAGUUAUUGGAAAGGUCAACGCAAUCGACUGUAAUAUGCAUGCUACAACAGCAAUUCUACAUAAAGUGAACGAGAGCAUAAGGACACAUCAACUCUCAAAGGCCGGUGUUGUCAACUCAAACCUAGUUGAUCACGAAGAUAUGUACAAACGAUAUUGACAGAAGUGGAAUACUCGCCGUAUUAAACGUCGUCGAAACGAUAGAGUUCUCUCGUUCCUCAAUUCCCAUGAACAGAACAUCACUCCUUCACGUCUUGCCAAAGGUCACAGAAGUGGAAUAAAGCCUGAUACACAGUUUUCCCCCAAUAACCAAUAAAAUGCAAGCGGUGUUGAAUUUCGACACAUUGGCAAUGGAUAACCAUGAGACAUACGCCGUCAUCGGACGCUGCCUAUCCAUCGGCAACACCUUAGUUUGCCAGGAAAAGGAUCUGAAGAAACUGGAGGAAGAUAGUUGCAUUCCCAGAGGAGGACACGCUUCGCGCAAUUAUCUGGAAAAUAAACAAGAGAUAACUCUGGUGGAUACGGGCCCACUAACCAACCUCAAUGAGAUAGUAAUCGCCGCGACAAAAGAACACCACUUGGUGGGAACGUUUCUCAUCCAACUUGAUAACGACACCGUAACGAUUCACGACAGGAACUACAGCAGCUAUUCGUCAACCCAUAUGAUUCACCAAAGUAACCGCCACGGGUUAUGAGCCAUCGCUAGGGAAUGUCCACGACUUCACCAUCAGAAACUUGAAUAGACUAGCCGACAUGUCUAGCAAGUUACUGGUAUCCUUCUUUACGGAAGCAAUGAUAAUCCUAAUCGUUGCAGUUACCCUCUAUCUCUUUUGGAAAAAAACACGUCAACAAAAGCCAACUCGAAACCAGACGACAUCGCUACGCAGUUGGAGUCGCAUACAGGACGUCAAAGACAUAGUGAUGCAGGACGCAGAUCUUGUGGUACACCUAGCACUGCAGCCCCUCCCUCGCACCCAACACUGCCCUCCUUGACGACCCUGACUUCCAAUGACGCCGUUCCUGAAUGUACGGCGUCAGCUUCUGCGCCCGAGUCACAUUGCCCACGAGCACGCAGCGCUGGCGUGGCUACAUUGUUGCAGAAUAUCCUACGACGCCGAAGUUAUGCCUACGCCGCAGAUUUGCUCGCCCAACAACAUAACGAACAAUAUCCACAACGCUGACGCUAUGCCUGCGCUGCAGAAUGGCUGGGCUGAUUGCAAAACAUCCGCAGCGCUGGCUCCACCGGAAAUCUGACACCGCACGACGUUGGGUCAGUCGAUCUCCAGCAGAGAGGCUUGCUGCCGUUCUGACAAGAGCCAGAAUUUCAUUCCAUUUCCGGAGACGAAUCUGACCAGAUGAUUAUCAAUAAAUCUUCUUAAACUAAACCUCUAACUCAAA